Molecule: ribosomal RNA, 253 nt
Filed under: uncultured bacterium
Lineage: Bacteria
Description: partial 16S ribosomal RNA
Rfam family: Bacterial small subunit ribosomal RNA
Source: RNAcentral
UACGGAGGGUGCGAGCGUUGUCCGGAAUCACUGGGCGUAAAGGGCGCGUAGGCGGCGCGGGAAGUCCGUGGUGAAAGCCCGAGGCUCAACUUCGGGUCGGCCAUGGAUACUCCUGGGCUCGAGCACUGUAGAGGCAGGUGGAAUUCCGGGUGUAGCGGUGGAAUGCGUAGAGAUCCGGAAGAACACCGGUGGCGAAGGCGGCCUGCUGGGCAGUAGCUGACGCUGAGGCGCGACAGCGUGGGGAGCAAACAGG